UAAGUGGAAUAACGGAUGGCUUAGAGAGAGAAGCUCCGCCUUCUCUCUACUUUUCUUCAUCUCCUACACUGUUCAUCGUCUUCUUCUUCUCCAUUGCAGCUGCUAAGGUAAGUAAACCUAGCAGAAUUAGUUAUGGCAAAGAGGAGAGGUCGCCCAAGAAAGGAACUAGUUCCAAUUUAUGCGAGUGAUUUAGUCUUCCAAAAUGCAGUUAAUACUGUGCAGAUGGUAGGUACUACUGUUCCAUCGAAUCCUCCUGUGGUUACUGUUCCUUUGCCUCAAGUAAUACCAGAUCCACAACCAUCUAGUGUUCCAAUGUUACCAGUUGCGAUAGUGAAGAGUAUAGAGCCUCCAAUCAAGGCAGUAGCUGGUCCGAAGGAGCAGGAAAAUGGA
RNAcentral lists this long non-coding RNA (390 nucleotides) under Nicotiana benthamiana. Its description in RNAcentral is "long non-coding RNA (NBEN_LNC035794)". The record is from RNAcentral. Lineage: Eukaryota; Viridiplantae; Streptophyta; Magnoliopsida; Solanales; Solanaceae.